Molecule: microRNA precursor, 199 nt
Filed under: Chlamydomonas reinhardtii
Lineage: Eukaryota; Viridiplantae; Chlorophyta; Chlorophyceae; Chlamydomonadales; Chlamydomonadaceae
Description: MIR1144 microRNA precursor family
Rfam family: MIR1144 microRNA precursor family
Source: Rfam by way of RNAcentral
GUGCAGCAGGCUUGGAACCGGGCACGCAGGAGGUGGGUUUUGUGGCGGCAGGNAGCAGGCAGCGCGGGGCUGCUGGUGGUGGUGGAGGAGGAUGAAGUUCGCCAUUCAAACAACCCUUUCUGCACCGGUCCUGUGCUGCCCGUUGCCUGCAGGAGCAAAACACACCCACUCCGUGUCCGGCUCCAAGAUUGCUGAACCC